GGGAGGGGUGCAAGCGUUGUUCGGAAUUAUUGGGCGUAAAGAGCGUGUAGGCGGUUCGGUAAGUCAGAUGUGAAAGCCCUGGGCUCAACCCAGGAAGUGCAUUUGAAACUACCCGGACUUGAGUACGGGAGAGGAGGGGGGAAUUCCCGGUGUAGAGGUGAAAUUCGUAGAUAUCGGGGGGAAUACCAGUGGCGAAGGCGCCCCUCUGGACCGAUACUGACGCUGAGACGCGAAAGCGUGGGGAGCAAACAGGAUUAGAUACCCUGGUAGUCCACGCCGUAAACGAUGAGCACUAGGUGUAGCGGGUAUUGACCCCUGCUGUGCCGUAGCUAACGCAUUAAGUGCUCCGCCUGGGGACUACGGUCGCAAGACUA
This 374-nucleotide ribosomal RNA is filed under the name uncultured organism. Its description in RNAcentral is "partial 16S ribosomal RNA". It matches the Rfam family "Bacterial small subunit ribosomal RNA", at positions 525 to 896 of the family's 1533-position model. The record is from RNAcentral.